This is a non-coding RNA of Arachis ipaensis, 3927 nucleotides long. The record is from RefSeq and is a predicted model, not a curated record. NCBI's taxonomy places the organism in Eukaryota, Viridiplantae, Streptophyta, Magnoliopsida, Fabales, Fabaceae.
CUAUUAGAGUUGACCAAUAUAGUCAUUGUUAGGAGGUUAGGGCAAUUAAGGUAGGUAGUUUUUCUCUAUAGAUACAAGUUCAUUUUGAUAGAAAGUAACCUGAGAAAUUGUGUAGUUGAUGUGAUUGGUUAGAUACACAUUUGUUGAAUUUUAUUAUUGUUAUGGUCUUUGGUGUGAGAGAAGAUUCUGUUCAUGUGAUUUCAAGCAUGUAUGCUAUUUAUUAGGUUAUGCAAAGUUGUUUUAGAUGCAUUAGGAGAAUGUCUUCAUUCAUUCUUAUCAUAUUGUACUUCACUUUUUCUCUCUCAGUUUGACUGAGAAAAGAGUUUCAUCCUUCUCUUCUCAUUUUUAUAGAAAUAUUAAAGAAGAAUGUAAUAUGAUUCUGUCAUAUUCUCCUAUUGUUUUCUUUAAUUUCAGCUCCCUCUUUGUAAUUUUAUUCAAUUUCUUGAAAUUUCAUCAUGUUUUGGUGCUUCGGGAGCCAUUCAUAAAUGACUUUGUGAUUCCCACAAUUUCAUUGAUUUAUUGCUAGAAUCAUGUAAUUUUGAUAUGAAUGUAGUUUAUAUGUUCAAUUUCAUUUAUGAAUAAUGUAGUUCCUUCAUAUCAUCAUAUGUUUUACUAUCUAUCUGUUCAAAAUCAGUUCUUUUAUAUAUCCUAUGUUUUUCUUGAUAAUCGUGGUUGGAUUAGGCUUAUUGUUAUAAGGUUGUUGGUUUUGCACAUUGUCAUGCUGAUAUCAUUAGUAUAUAUGUAUUGUGGUGUUUAGCGUAUAAGCUUCUUAAUUAAUUCAGUUUCUCAUUUUAUAGUUCAUUGGUCAGUUUUGAGUGGUAAUUAGAUAAAUUUGGUGUUCUUUUAUUCUUAGUAAUUUGGAACUAAUAGCUGCGAUGGGAGUUGAUUUUUGUCAAAGUGCUCAUCAAAUUAUAGUUAAUUCAAUUUCUCAUUUUAUACUUCAUUGAUUAGUUUUGAGUGGUAAUUAGACAAAUUUAGUGGUUCUUUUUUAGUAAUUUAGAUCUAAUAGUUGUGAUGGGAGUUAGUUUUUGUUAAAGUGCUCAUCAAAUCAUAGUAUGUAUAGAUUGUUUCUCAAUCAGUUCUAGGGAGGUGAGGUUGUAUUUUUAUUAUUAUAUGUUUCAAAUUGUUAAAAAUAUAAUGUGAAUUCCAUUCUUCUGAAGUUGUGAUGGGAUGUUAGUUUGAAUGAUGUUAUUUGUGAUCUCAUCUCAUUCUUUUAUACAUGAUUCUGAUGUCAGUCAAAGUUGUUGCUUUCUCAUUUUAUUUUGUCAGUUUCGAAGUUAUGAUGGGAUGUUGGUUUUUGAAUUUUUCUUCAAAAACAAAAAAUGGAUUGGAUGUGUGGUUAGGUGGGGAAAGUGAUUCUCUUUCCUGUUUUUCUGAGUACCCUCACAUGAAAAAUCAGAUUUUGGUGGUUUGAUGGGAGAAAUGACAUCAUCUUCUAUAACAAAUAGUACUAUCUUCUAUUAUUCUAUCAAAAAAGUUAUUUGGUCAAUGAGAGUAGGUAUUGUUACUUGUGACUAACUCCCCUUUGUCAUUUAUUGCAAAUCAAUCGCAUUAGCAAGUACUUUUAUGGCCUCUCUGGUGAUAGAUUUUCUUUCAAAAAGGAAAAACCUUCCCUUUCUACAAAUCACGUCAGAUCUCCUGCUCUUCAUUCUUCGGAUGGAUGAUUAUCUGCCUUCUGCACAUUCGAUUGAGGAAUCAAUUAUUUUGCAAGAUACUCCAAUUAUUAAUGCCAAUUUCAUAUUAUCAGAUGACUCUGAAAUACAUGAUCCUACUGUAAAUUCUUGGAAUGAGCUUCGGUCUCCUAUUGAUCAUCCACUUUUUUCACAAAGUGAAAUUCAAGGUUGUCUCGAUAUUGGUGAUCCUGUGUAUACUUGUCUAUAUUGUGGUGCGUCGUUUUGGUUACUAGAGCGGGUUGAAAAAUGGUCAAGAAUUAAUCAGCCUCUUUUUGCACUUUGUUGUUUUCAAGGAAAAAUUCAAUUACCGUAUCUUCAGAAAGCUCCAAAUUUAUUAUAUAUUUUGAUUCAUGGUCAUGAUAGUAAGUCUUUACUGUUUCAGAAGAAAAUUCGGUAUUAUAAUAGUAUGUUUGCUUUCACUUCUUUUGGUGGUAAAGUAAUAGACUCAGUGAAUGAUGGAACUGGCCCACCACAAUUCAUCAUAAGUGGCCAAAAUUAUCAUAGGAUUGAAAGUUUAUUACCUCAGGCUGGUCAAGUUCCAAAAUUUGUCCAAUUAUACAUAUAUGACACAGAACAUGAGUUAACGCAUAGAGAAGGAAUAUUUGGGCAAAGUUUAAAUAUAGAUAGACAGUUGAUAAUUGAUUUGACCCAAAUGAUUGAUCAACACAAUCCCAUAGCACAAUCAUUUAGAAGAGUGAGAGAAUUCCAUGAGAAUCACCCGUCUGAGGUGUUUUCUUUGAAAUUGUUUAGUCAAAGAGAACGUGAUCGAAGAGUUUAUAAUUAUCCUUCGUGCGAUGAAGUUGCUGCUUUGGUUGUUGGUGAUUUUGAUUCUUCUGAUACUGGUCGUGAUGUCAUUGUUAAAUCUGUAGCUGGCCAACUUCAAAGAAUAUAUGAGACACAUGCUUUAUACUGGCCAUUGUAAUAUCCCUUGCUUUUUCCUUACGGGGAAGAUGGUUAUCAAUUGGGUAUUCCUUAUCGAGAUAUUCAAGAUAUAAAUGUUGCAGGGAGAAGGACUAGAGUGUCUGUGCGAGAAUUUAUCUGUUUUCGUUUGCAAAUGAGAGAGCAUGAUGAUAGCAUUAUUCAUAAGUCUAGAAGAUUGUUCCAACAGUUUGUUGUUGAUUCAUUCUCUAUGAUUGAGUCACAGAGGCUUUAUGAAAUCAGGAAAAAACAGAGCACAAUUAGAGGAGAAGUCUUACAAGGUAUUGAAGAAGCUAUGCGAUGCGGUGAUACUGAAGCAUCAUCAAUUGGUACUCGAGUGAUUUUGCCUUCUUCCUUCACUGGUGGUAAACGUUACAUGUUUAAUAAUUGCCAAGAUGCUAUGGCUAUUUGUAAACAUUUUGGGUAUCCAGAUCUAUUUCUUACCCUUACUUGCAAUCCAAACUGGCCUGAGUUUCAAAGAUAUACUAAUCGUGAUCAAGUUCCAAUUGCUAAUCGGCCAGACAUUGCUUGCCGAGUCUUUCAUGCUAAUAUGAAGUGUCUUCUUAAUGAUCUUAAGAAUGGUGUUUUUUUUGGUCCUCUUAAUGCAGGUAUGUAUACAAUUGAGUUUCAAAAAAGAGGUUUGUCACAUGCACAUAUUCUACUUUGGCUUGAUGGAAGGAAUAGAUUGCAGAAUAUUAAAAUUGUUGAUGAGUUGAUUUGUGCAGAACUUUCUAAUCCUAUGAAGUUUCCACAUUUGUAUAGUGUGGUUAGUAAAUACAUGAUUCAUAGCCCUUGUGGUAGGGUAAGACCAACUUCUCCAUGCAUGAAAGAUGGAAGAUGAUCCAAGUUUUAUCCGAAGCAGUUUGUUAAUUAUACGAGUUUUGAUGAAGAUGGUUAUCCUAUUUACAAGCGUCGAGAUAUUGGUGUUACAGUUAAAAGUCAUGGUGUUGAUCUUGAUAAUAGAUUUGUUGUUCCAUAUAAUCCAUUAUUGUUGAUGAAGUACCAGGCUCAUAUCAAUUUGGAAUUUUGCAACAAGUCAAAUGUUAUAAAGUAUCUUUUCAAGUACAUUAACAAGGGUCCAGAUCGUGUAAUUGCAACCAUUAGUCAUUCAACUGAGACAACUCAUUCUUUUGAAGUGGUUGAUGAGAUCAAACAGUAUUAUGAUUGUCGGUAUCUUUCACCUUGUGAAUCAAUGUGGAAAACUUUUGCAUAUGAAAUUCAUCAUAGAUGGCCACCUAUGCAAAGACUCACAUUUCAUUUACCUAAUCAGCAGCAUGUUGUGUUCGAUGAUCAUGAUACUAUUGGCUCUGUUUUAAUAAGAAAUAGAGAUUUGAUG